Molecule: long non-coding RNA, 1889 nt
Filed under: Salvia miltiorrhiza (redroot sage)
Lineage: Eukaryota; Viridiplantae; Streptophyta; Magnoliopsida; Lamiales; Lamiaceae
Description: long non-coding RNA (SMIL_LNC014339)
Source: RNAcentral
AGAUGGCCUGCCUGGUGGCCUUUAUAUCAUCUGCAGUUAUUUCAAUUAUCCUUAAGAAAUUUUUAGUUACACUUAAGUUUAUAAAUUUUGUAGUUGUAAUAAGUAGCUUCAUGAUUCUUUGAUAAAUAAAUAUCUAUAUAAUAGUUGCCAGAAGGCCUAAAAGAAUUCUUUCAAAUUGUAAUUUAACUUCAUGUAAAGCUAAAACUUUACUAACUCAAAACACUUAGCAUAAAGAAAACAGUAAGAUGAAAAUCAUUAAUUUGAAUUCUUUUUGAACUUGAUGUAAAACUAAAACUAUAGUAACUUAAAACACUUAAAAUAACAGUACAAUGAAAAUGUACUCAAUAUUUUAGUCGCAAGAUAAUAUUUUCAUUACAAAAUAGGCUAAUAUUAUCCUUUGUACAAAUGUAAUCCUACUGCAUUUGACACAUCAGUGCAUAUAUAUAUUGCACAUCACAUAGCAGUCAUCUAUUUACAUAAUUUUUACAAAAACAAAAGUUAGCCAAAAGCUAAGUAAGAUGACACAAGGUUCCAGAAAAUACAUUAUAAUACCUAGAACAAUUGCAUAGCUAAGCUAAUGCCUAUUACUAAUCCUUCUCAAUCUUCACAACAGCCAUCUUCACCUUCUUCUCACCCACAGAUGCCUCAAAUUCUUUUGCCAAAUUUCUCUUCACAGAACAUCUUAAAGUCCUUUCAUAAUCUCCAACCAACUCAUUGUCUCGUAUAAUAGAAGAGUUAACUGGCUUGCAACGAACCUAAAAUAAAAUAAACAAACUUAAGUACAAAUAAGAUGCAUAAUUUUUAUAUUAAGAGAGAACAAAGUCCCAACUGAUCACCUUUCUAUUUCCAGAGAGAAUUGGCAUAGUUGUGAUCUGGGACAGUCCCUCACACUCUUCUUCAAAAGAAUUUUGAGAAUCUUCAUCCUCCGGUUCUCCUUCAGAAUCCUUACUCUUAGAAGCAUACUUACCCACAACAUCUGGAUUGCUGCAUAUUUUUAGAACAGUGUAUGGCCUGUCGUUUAGUGUUUUGAUAUCAGCUCUUAGCUGCACUUUGAACAUGAUAGUCUUCCCGAUAAGAGCACUUUCAAUUUCCUUAGGUAUAAUUUCAAAGUGACCAACCUAUAAAAGUGAAAAAGUAAAUAAAUUAAUAGUAUAUCACAUUUCCUCAAUAACUUUUGGAACAAUAUUAAUAAUCUGGUCGUAAAAGAUGUAUUUUAGAAGAACCUGCAUAUGCGAAAAAUAGAAACCAACACAUUUGCUUAUUUAACAAUUAAAAAUGCAUAUUUACUGCCUACUAUAGUGAGACGUACAUUAAAAUUCUCCCUGUGCAUUACCUCAUUCCCUUUCAGCUGUACCUCUGAAGCCUUCUUUCCAAGCAAAGUAAUGCAUUCUUUAUCCCAAACCAAAAGUGACAUAUUGUUUGUAGAGUCAACUACAUUCAAGAUCAACAUGUACCUAAAGUAAUAUCACAUAUAAAUAUUAGAAACACAUAUUUAUAUAAAAUAUUUAUUUCAAUACUGUUUAUAUGGCAGAAUAUAGGAAAACCUUUUAUUUGCCUUCCCAUCAUAUUUGUUGCAAGCUUCACAAAAGAAUCUGUUGUUUAAUUUUACAACUUUCCUUGUGCAUCGGACACAGGCCAUAUAACACCAAGUAUAGGAACAAUCAACAGACUCAAUAGUACCACAUAUCUAAGCUUCUCCAUUCUACAUAAUUUUAAUAAAUUUAAGUUAAGUACAAAGUACAUAUCAAAUAAAAAUGUUAAAUCAGCAUUGGUUGUAGAAGAACAAUACCUCAUUUGUGACAAUUUCAUCAAUAACCUUCACAUUUAGUGUUUCAUCAGCAGACACGUCCUCUUUCACAGCUUCCAAAUUCAUAGACAAUGUGUUUUUG